UACGAAGGGGGCUAGCGUUGUUCGGAAUUACUGGGCGUAAAGCGCACGUAGGCGGACAUUUAAGUCAGGGGUGAAAUCCCAGAGCUCAACUCUGGAACUGCCUUUGAUACUGGGUGUCUUGAGUGUGGAAGAGGUCAGUGGAAUUGCGAGUGUAGAGGUGAAAUUCGUAGAUAUUCGCAGGAACACCAGUGGCGAAGGCGGCUGACUGGUCCACAACUGACGCUGAGGUGCGAAAGCGUGGGGAGCAAACAGGAUUAGAAACCCAGUAGUCC
RNAcentral lists this ribosomal RNA (272 nucleotides) under uncultured prokaryote. Its description in RNAcentral is "partial 16S ribosomal RNA". It matches the Rfam family "Bacterial small subunit ribosomal RNA", at positions 524 to 796 of the family's 1533-position model. The record is from RNAcentral.